GAUGAACGCUGGCGGCGUGCCUAAUACAUGCAAGUCGAGCGGACGGACGAGAAGCUUGCUUCUCUGAUGUUAGCGGCGGACGGGUGAGUAACACGUGGAUAACCUACCUAUAAGACUGGGAUAACUUCGGGAAACCGUAGCUAAUACCGGCUAAUAUUUUGAACCGCAUGGUUCAAAAGUGAAAGACGGUCUUGCUGUCACUUAUAGAUGGAUCCGCGCUGCAUUAGCUAGUUGGUAAGGUAACGGCUUACCAAGGCAACGAUGCAUAGCCUAACUGAGAGGGUGAUCGGCCACACUGGAACGGAGACGCGGUCCAGACUCCUACGGGAGGCAGCAGUCGGGAAUCUUCCGCAAUGGGCGGAAGCCUGACGGAGCAACGGCGCGUGAGUGAGGAAGGGCUUCGGAUCGUAAAACUCUGUUAUUAGGGAAGAACAUAUGUGUAAGUAAAUGUGCACAUAUUGACGGUACCUAAUCAGAAAGCCACGGCUAACUACGUG
RNAcentral lists this ribosomal RNA (497 nucleotides) under uncultured bacterium. RNAcentral describes it as "partial 16S ribosomal RNA". It matches the Rfam family "Bacterial small subunit ribosomal RNA", at positions 28 to 507 of the family's 1533-position model. The record is from RNAcentral.